This 352-nucleotide long non-coding RNA is filed under the name Manihot esculenta (cassava). RNAcentral's name for it is "long non-coding RNA (MESC_LNC009282)". Lineage: Eukaryota; Viridiplantae; Streptophyta; Magnoliopsida; Malpighiales; Euphorbiaceae. The record is from RNAcentral.
UCAUAUUCAUGGAUGUUUGGUCCCUCAUUUGAGUCCACCUGUGUAGGUUCGGACCCGAGGAACCGAGGACCUCAGCAGUGAGAUAGCUGCUUCAGAUUCAUUAGAGCUUCAGCCAGAGGUGAGUGGAAUAAACUUUUAUGUUUUAAAGUAAAUGAACUUUGAGCAUGAUACAUGCAUCACGUAUGCCAUGAGAUAUACUAGGUUGUUUGCAUUAGAAUUCACGAAUAUGUUGCAUUGCAUAAAUUGAUGUUGAUGUGGAUGGAUGUUGGAUGACCCUUUAGUCCUCGUAUGCUAUGGUAUGAUGAUGAUACGGUACGGAAGACCAGUGAGGCCCAUUCUAUGCCCCUGGCAC